AACCUCGUUAGGUGAGGCUCCUGUACGGAGAUAAGCUGCUGCCCAAAAAUGUCCAAAGACGCCAAUGGGUCAACAGGAACUAUCGAGUUAAGGUGGUUUCUAACGUAGCUGGAUAUAAUCCUAUGCCGUACAGUGCUAAAACUCAACGACUAGGG
RNAcentral lists this small RNA (155 nucleotides) under Numidum massiliense. RNAcentral's name for it is "M-box riboswitch (ykoK leader)". It matches the Rfam family "M-box riboswitch aptamer (ykoK leader)". From Rfam's summary of the family: M-box riboswitch, also know as ykoK leader is described as a metaloregulatory RNA that sense divalent metals and function as a genetic control element of genes related to divalent metal transport in bacteria. It was first reported upstream of the B.subtilis ykoK gene and genes with related functions in other bacteria. Lineage: Bacteria; Bacillati; Bacillota; Bacilli; Caryophanales; Bacillaceae. The record is from RNAcentral.